RNAcentral lists this long non-coding RNA (544 nucleotides) under Anser cygnoides (Swan goose). RNAcentral describes it as "lncRNA (ENSACDG00005007632.1)". The record is from RNAcentral. Lineage: Eukaryota; Metazoa; Chordata; Aves; Anseriformes; Anatidae.
GCUUGAGCCACAGAGCAGGGUGAAGCUUUACAGUUCUGGAGUAGAAGUAUGAAUGGGAUUGAAGUAUUUACGUGGAGGACUCUGAACUCCUUCCCUUCCUGAGUCAGGAAGGAUAGGGGCCUGCUUUGAGACCUACUGAAGCUGUCUUGAAUGAUGUGACAAAUGGCUCUCCGCAUGUACUGAGAUGCAGCACAGCCAGGAGAGCCCCUGGCCCCUGAAUACUACCUUCAGAUGGAGGAGGGAAAAUAACAUCUACAGGCACGGUAAUGUCUUCACUUUGCUACAAGAUGCAGAUGGAUCACUCCUUGCCAGCUUUCAAGGCAAAUAUUGCUGUAUAGUCCUUGCCCUCAGCAACAUCGUCAGUGUCCUGGUGAUGGGUGCUUUGAAAGGAUUGGGCAGAAGAGACGUCAUGCUACCUCUGCACAUCAGACUCUCUGUUCUGUUGCAUUUUUGGAGGGGAACCAAAAGGAAUGGAAGAGCAGCAUCAGUCUCUGAAUAACAAAUCUUAUUUUCUCCAUGGAAUAGUUCUUCAAGAAUGAAACAG